Molecule: long non-coding RNA, 542 nt
Filed under: Gossypium barbadense (sea-island cotton)
Lineage: Eukaryota; Viridiplantae; Streptophyta; Magnoliopsida; Malvales; Malvaceae
Description: long non-coding RNA (GBAR_LNC007554)
Source: RNAcentral
CUCUCCACCACCACCACCAACACUCUUAGACUGUUCGCUGCCUGAAUCCCGUGACCAUGUUGGUGACCUUGACUUAGACUUCGACUUGGAGCUUCUCCUCUUCAAAUCCUCCUCCCUUGAUUCCCCAACAACCCUGCCUGCCCCCAAAGAAUCCCUUGACCGUGUAGGUGAGCUCACAUCCCUAACAUCCUUCAGUUGCACCUUACUACCUCUAGUCUCAUCAAUUCCACCACCAACACUCUUAGACUGCUCACUGCCUGAAUCCCGUGACCAUGUUGGCGACCUUGACAUUGACGUAGACAUUGCCUUGGUGCUUCUCCUCCUCAAAUCUUCCCUUUCCCUUGAUUCCCCAACAACCCUCCCUGCCCCCAAAGAAUCCCUUGACCUUGUAGGUGAGCUCACAUCCCUAACAUCCCUCAGUUGCACCUUACUACUCCCUCUAACGUCAUCAAUUCCCAACCUUCGCCACGAGCUCCCACACACACUCUCACGACGAGUUCGGUCCCUUUCUGACCGGAACCCCUUUGGAAACUCUCUAUGAG